RNAcentral lists this ribosomal RNA (338 nucleotides) under uncultured bacterium. RNAcentral describes it as "bacterial SSU rRNA". It matches the Rfam family "Bacterial small subunit ribosomal RNA", at positions 191 to 507 of the family's 1533-position model. The record is from RNAcentral.
GGAAGAGAUAUUAAAGAUGGCCUCUACUUGUAAGCUAUCGCUUUGCGAUGGGUCUGCGUCUGAUUAGCUAGUUGGUGGGGCAACGGCCUACCAAGGCGACGAUCAGUAGCCGGUCUGAGAGGAUGAACGGCCACAUUGGAACUGAGACACGGUCCAGACUCCUACGGGAGGCAGCAGUGGGGAAUCUUCCGCAAUGGGCGAAAGCCUGACGGAGCAACGCCGCGUGAGUGAAGAAGGUCUUCGGAUCGUAAAGCUCUGUUGUCGGGGACGAAUGUUGAGACCUAGAACAUAGGUUUCAAAUGACGGUACCUGACGAGGAAGCCACGGCUAACUACGUG